RNAcentral lists this unclassified non-coding RNA (202 nucleotides) under Hevea brasiliensis (rubber tree). The record is from RNAcentral. Lineage: Eukaryota; Viridiplantae; Streptophyta; Magnoliopsida; Malpighiales; Euphorbiaceae.
AAAAAAAAAAAAAAAAAUUCUUCUCGCAUGAGCCGAACGCACAUCUUUUUGCUUAAAAGGUUUUCAAACAUAGCUCUAUUAUUGAAUUAGUAAAUAAAGAAAAUUAAGAGUUUAUAAAUAAAUAGAGAUUAAAUUAAAAUUUAAUUAAUACAUCAUUAAAUAAAUAUUAGUUAUAUGCUAUUAUUAUCAAGAAAUUGUUGAU